AUUGAACGCUGGCGGCAUGCUUUACACAUGCAAGUCGAACGGCAGCGCGGGCUUCGGCCUGGCGGCGAGUGGCGAACGGGCGAGUAAUGCAUCGGAACGUGCCCAGUAGUGGGGGAUAGCCCGGCGAAAGCCGGAUUAAUACCGCAUACGACCUGAGGGUGAAAGCGGGGGACCGAAAGGCCUCGCGCUAUUGGAGCGGCCGAUGUCGGAUUAGCUAGUUGGUGGGGUAAAGGCUUACCCAGGCGACGAUCCGUAGCUGGUCUGAGAGGACGACCCGCCACACUGGGACUGAGACACGGCCCAGACUCCUACGGGAGGCAGCAGUGGGGAAUUUUGGACAAUGGGGGCAACCCUGAUCCAGCCAUGCCGCGUGCGGGAAGAAGGCCUUCGGGUUGUAAACCGCUUUUGUUCGGGAAGAAAUCCUCUGGGCUAAUACCCCGGGGGGAUGACGGUACCGGAAGAAUAAGCACCGGCUAACUACGUG
RNAcentral lists this ribosomal RNA (484 nucleotides) under uncultured bacterium. RNAcentral describes it as "partial 16S ribosomal RNA". It matches the Rfam family "Bacterial small subunit ribosomal RNA", at positions 28 to 507 of the family's 1533-position model. The record is from RNAcentral.